Molecule: transfer RNA, 72 nt
Filed under: Bos taurus (domestic cattle)
Lineage: Eukaryota; Metazoa; Chordata; Mammalia; Artiodactyla; Bovidae
Also listed under: 2 other names
Rfam family: tRNA
About the family: Transfer RNA (tRNA) molecules are approximately 80 nucleotides in length. Their secondary structure includes four short double-helical elements and three loops (D, anti-codon, and T loops).
Source: Rfam by way of RNAcentral
UUCCUGGUGGCUUGGAUGGUAAAACAUCCGCCUGCUAUGCAGAAGACCCAGGUGCAACUCCUGGGCUGGAAA